CCAAAUUCAACAUAUAUAUAGUAAUAAUGUCAUUAAAGUACAACCACAUUGUAAUCCAAAAUACAAAACAUCAUAAUAAAGACAAAUUCCAACACUUAUUACUAGAUUGUCAAAAGGCUAGCACCAAAAAUUUAUAAUGUCAAAAUAACUUUGUACAUUGUGUCAAAACUGUACAUAAAAAACUACAGAACUGGAAAACAAAAAUACAUUGUGUCAAACCUGUGUUAUAAUUAAUGAACUAAAUCUCAGUGCCUUCAAUUGCUCCAUAAUCGAUUCAAUUUGCUGAAAGCAUCAACAUCUGAAAGAUGUAGAUUGAAAAUGAAAAUAGACAUAAGAAGACAUUGCAAAUGAAAAACUGAGACAAACAAAGGGCAAUGGUUGAUGCAAAUUCAGAAAUCAGAAAUGAUACAUCGUAAAAGAGAAGGGAGAAAGAGUAAGAACUUACUGGUAAGUUACAUAAGCAAAAGCGAGAUUGUUACUCUUAUAUUCCUAUAAAACUAUGAUUCAUGAUUAUAAUAUUUGAAAUUAAAGAGUGUGCUAUAUCUAAUCCACUCCAAUGAGUAUCUUCCUUCACCACCUCAUUUUAGUACCUGAAAAGUGAAAAGUCAUGAGAAUAUCUCAAUAUUCCCAAAGGAACAUUAUUCAUUUGUUGUAACAUUGGAUAACUCCAAGCCUACUGUAAAACGCUAUGCAAUAACAUUCUAACUCAAGAGUUUUAGCUUGGUUACUAAAUAAAAAGUUUCUAGUUUCAUCUCCAAACAAAGCAAAUUUAAUUGAGUUACUAAAUAAUUAAUUGUUUUCUUCUAAACCAAGAUCAUUCUCUUUUUAAAAUAGCAUCAAAAUUUUGAAAAGAAGCAUAAUAGAUAUACUAUACAUGCUAACAUGCCUCGGCCUCUCAAUAAAACAUGGCUAGUUCAAACAUAUAUAUAGGUGAUAAUUGUCUU
Molecule: long non-coding RNA, 944 nt
Filed under: Trifolium pratense (red clover)
Lineage: Eukaryota; Viridiplantae; Streptophyta; Magnoliopsida; Fabales; Fabaceae
Description: long non-coding RNA (TPRA_LNC004753)
Source: RNAcentral